AGUGAACGCUGGCGGUAGGCCUAACACAUGCAAGUCGAACGGCAGCACAGUAAGAGCUUGCUCUUACGGGUGGCGAGUGGCGGACGGGUGAGGAAUACAUCGGAAUCUACUUUUUCGUGGGGGAUAACGUAGGGAAACUUACGCUAAUACCGCAUACGACCUACGGGUGAAAGCAGGGGAUCUUCGGACCUUGCGCGAUUGAAUGAGCCGAUGUCGGAUUAGCUGGUUGGCGGGGUAAAGGCCCACCCAGGCGGCGAUCCGUAGCUGGUCUGAGAGGAUGGUCAGCCACACUGGAACUGAGACACGGUCCAGACUCCUACGGGAGGCAGCAGUGGGGAAUAUUGGACAAUGGGCGCAAGCCUGAUCCAGCCAUACCGCGUGGGUGAAGAAGGCCUUCGGGUUGUAAAGCCCUUUUGUUGGGAAAGAAAAGCAGCAGGUUAAUACCCCGCUGUUCUGACGGUACCCAAAGAAUAAGCACCGGCUAACUUCGUG
This 492-nucleotide ribosomal RNA is filed under the name uncultured bacterium. RNAcentral's name for it is "partial 16S ribosomal RNA". It matches the Rfam family "Bacterial small subunit ribosomal RNA", at positions 29 to 507 of the family's 1533-position model. The record is from RNAcentral.